Molecule: ribosomal RNA, 1351 nt
Filed under: Cellulosimicrobium cellulans
Lineage: Bacteria; Bacillati; Actinomycetota; Actinomycetes; Micrococcales; Promicromonosporaceae
Description: bacterial SSU rRNA
Rfam family: Bacterial small subunit ribosomal RNA
Source: RNAcentral
CGAUGAUGCCCGGCUUGCUGGGUGGAUUAGUGGCGAACGGGUGAGUAACACGUGAGUAACCUGCCCUUGACUUCGGGAUAACUCCGGGAAACCGGGGCUAAUACCGGAUAUGAGCUACCUUCGCAUGGGGGUGGUUGGAAAGUUUUUCGGUCAGGGAUGGGCUCGCGGCCUAUCAGCUUGUUGGUGGGGUGAUGGCCUACCAAGGCGACGACGGGUAGCCGGCCUGAGAGGGCGACCGGCCACACUGGGACUGAGACACGGCCCAGACUCCUACGGGAGGCAGCAGUGGGGAAUAUUGCACAAUGGGCGAAAGCCUGAUGCAGCGACGCCGCGUGAGGGAUGAAGGCCUUCGGGUUGUAACCUCUUUCAGCAGGGAAGAAGCGCAAGUGACGGUACCUGCAGAAGAAGCGCCGGCUAACUACGUGCCAGCAGCCGCGGUAAUACGUAGGGCGCAAGCGUUGUCCGGAAUUAUUGGGCGUAAAGAGCUCGUAGGCGGUUUGUCGCGUCUGGUGUGAAAACUCGAGGCUCAACCUCGAGCUUGCAUCGGGUACGGGCAGACUAGAGUGCGGUAGGGGAGACUGGAAUUCCUGGUGUAGCGGUGGAAUGCGCAGAUAUCAGGAGGAACACCGAUGGCGAAGGCAGGUCUCUGGGCCGCAACUGACGCUGAGGAGCGAAAGCAUGGGGAGCGAACAGGAUUAGAUACCCUGGUAGUCCAUGCCGUAAACGUUGGGCACUAGGUGUGGGGCUCAUUCCACGAGUUCCGUGCCGCAGCAAACGCAUUAAGUGCCCCGCCUGGGGAGUACGGCCGCAAGGCUAAAACUCAAAGGAAUUGACGGGGGCCCGCACAAGCGGCGGAGCAUGCGGAUUAAUUCGAUGCAACGCGAAGAACCUUACCAAGGCUUGACAUGCACGGGAAGCCACCAGAGAUGGUGGUCUCUUUGGACACUCGUGCACAGGUGGUGCAUGGUUGUCGUCAGCUCGUGUCGUGAGAUGUUGGGUUAAGUCCCGCAACGAGCGCAACCCUCGUCCCAUGUUGCCAGCGGGUUAUGCCGGGGACUCAUGGGAGACUGCCGGGGUCAACUCGGAGGAAGGUGGGGAUGACGUCAAAUCAUCAUGCCCCUUAUGUCUUGGGCUUCACGCAUGCUACAAUGGCCGGUACAAAGGGCUGCGAUACCGUAAGGUGGAGCGAAUCCCAAAAAGCCGGUCUCAGUUCGGAUUGGGGUCUGCAACUCGACCCCAUGAAGUCGGAGUCGCUAGUAAUCGCAGAUCAGCAACGCUGCGGUGAAUACGUUCCCGGGCCUUGUACACACCGCCCGUCAAGUCACGAAAGUCGGUAACACCCGAAGCCCAU